RNAcentral lists this ribosomal RNA (348 nucleotides) under Paenarthrobacter sp. Its description in RNAcentral is "bacterial SSU rRNA". It matches the Rfam family "Bacterial small subunit ribosomal RNA", at positions 821 to 1167 of the family's 1533-position model. The record is from RNAcentral. Lineage: Bacteria; Bacillati; Actinomycetota; Actinomycetes; Micrococcales; Micrococcaceae.
UGUGGGGGGACAUUCCACGUUUUCCGCGCCGUAGCUAACGCAUUAAGUGCCCCGCCUGGGGAGUACGGCCGCAAGGCUAAAACUCAAAGGAAUUGACGGGGGCCCGCACAAGCGGCGGAGCAUGCGGAUUAAUUCGAUGCAACGCGAAGAACCUUACCAAGGCUUGACAUGAACCGGAAAGACCUGGAAACAGGUGCCCCGCUUGCGGUCGGUUUACAGGUGGUGCAUGGUUGUCGUCAGCUCGUGUCGUGAGAUGUUGGGUUAAGUCCCGCAACGAGCGCAACCCUCGUUCUAUGUUGCCAGCGGUUCGGCCGGGGACUCAUAGGAGACUGCCGGGGUCAACUCGGA